Molecule: transfer RNA, 81 nt
Organism: Aspergillus ustus
Lineage: Eukaryota; Fungi; Ascomycota; Eurotiomycetes; Eurotiales; Aspergillaceae
Rfam family: tRNA
About the family: Transfer RNA (tRNA) molecules are approximately 80 nucleotides in length.
Source: Rfam
GGCAAGAUGGCCGAGCGGUUAAGGCGUUAGUUUAGAAAGCUAAUCCCUUCGGGGUCCUGAGUUCGAAUCUCAGUCUUGUCG